CUCCCCCAUCCCCUUGACUCUCCCCUCCCAGCCCUUGCUCUCUAGCUCGCCUUUAGCGGGGCCCCCGCCAUAACGGAGGCGGGUGCCGGUGCCCUUGCCGCCGCUGCCGUCGCAGGGGGAGAGUCGGGUUCCCAGAAAGUAGCUUGAUGAGUGUCCAAAGUAGCAGUGGAAGUUUGGAGGGGCCGCCAUCUUGGUCCCAGCGCUCCACGUCUCCAACCCCGGGCUCGGCGGCGGCGGCGGCCAGGUCCCCGCUGAAUCGCACGCGGCCAUCCGGGAGGCCCAGGGAAGGUGCAGUGGAUGAGCUUCAUAGUCUGGAUCCAAGAAGGCAAGAGUUACUGGAAGCUAGAUUUUCUGGAGUUGCAAGUGGGAGCACUGGGAGUACGGGCAGUUGCAGUGUUGGAGCUAAAGCCUCAACAAAUAACGAAAGCUCUAAUCACAGUUUUGGAAGCUUGGGAUCUUUAAGUGACAAAGAAUCAGAGACACCAGAGAAGAAACAAUCAAUCAUCCAGGGGAAGAAAGAGAAAAGCAGAAAACCAGAAUGAAAGUAAUCAGGGAAAAAGUAUUGGGGGACGUGGCCACAAAAUUAGCGACUAUUUUGAAUACCAGGGUGGAAAUGGCUCAAGUCCAGUAAGAGGCAUACCUCCUGCAAUCCGUUCUCCUCAAAAUUCACAUUCACGUUCCACUCCUUCCUCAUCUGUUCGACCCAACAGCCAUUCUCCUACUGCAUUAGCAUUUGGGGACCACCCUAUUGUACAACCAAAGCAGUUAUCCUUUAAAAUUAUUCAGACUGAUCUCACAAUGCUGAAAUUAGCAGCAUUAGAAAGUAAUAAAAUCCAGGACCUGGAAAAGAAGGAGGGACGUAUAGAUGAUUUGCUCAGGGCUAACUGUGAUCUCAGAUGGCAAAUAGAUGAACAACAAAAAUUACUUGAAAAAUUCAAAGAACGAUUAAGUAAGUGCAUAUCAAUGAGCAAGAAACUUCUUAUUGAAAAGAGUACACAAGAAAAAUUGUCAAGCAGAGAGAAGAGUAUGCAAGAUCGAUUACCCCUUGGGCACUUUACAACAGUUAGACAUGGCGCUUCAUUUACUGAACAAUAGACAGAUGGUUUUGCAUUUCAGAAUCUUGUGAAGCAACAAGAAUGAGUGAAUCAGCAAAGGGAAGAUAUUGAAAGGCAAAGGAAACUUUUAGCCAAACCCUAACCUCCCACAGCUAAUAAUUCUCAGGCACCCUCUACCAAUUCUGAGCCAAAAUAAAGGAAAAACAAAGCAGUCAAUGGAGCAAAGAAUGAUCCCUUUGUUAGACCAAAUUUACCACAACUAUUGACUUUGGCAGAAUAUCAUGAACAGGAAGAAAUUUUCAAACUUAGACUAGGACAUCUCAAAAAGGAAGAGGCAGAAAUCCAGGCAAAACUUGAACGUUUGGAAAGAGUCAGAAAUCACACACAUGAGCUGAAAAGAAUAAACAAUGAAGAUAAUUCACAGUUCAAAGAUCACCCAACAUUGAAUGAAAGAUAUUUAUUACUUCAUCUACUUGGUAGAGGUGGCUUUAGUGAAGUAUAUAAGGCUCUUGACCUUUAUGAACAAAGAUGUGCUGCUGUGAAGAUACAUCAGCUUAAUAAAAGCUGGAGAGAUGAGAAGAAAGAAAACUACCACAAACAUGCCUGCAGAGAGUACAGAAUACACAAAGAACUGGAUCACCCCUGAAUAGUUAAACUCUAUGAUUAUUUCUCCUUGGAUACAGAUACAUUUUGUAUAGUGUUAGAAUACUGUGAAGGCAAUGACUUGGAUUUCUAUCUGAAGCAACACAAGUUAAUGUCAGAGAAAGAAGCUAGGUCUAUUGUAAUGCAGAUUGUAAAUGUACCAAGAUAUCUCAAUGAGAUCAAACCCCCUAUUAUACAUUAUGAUCUUAAGCCAGGAAACAUCCAGCUGGUAGAUGGAUCAGCAUGUGGUGAAAUCAAAAUCACUGAUUUUGGUCUGCCCAGGAUUAUGGACAGUGAUAGCUAUGGUGUAGAUGGAAUGGAUCUAACUUCCCAGGGGGCAGGCACUUACUGGUAUUUACCUCCUGAGUAUUUUGUAGUUGGAAAAGAGCCACCAAAGAUUUCCAACAAGGUUGAUGUAUGGUCAGUUGGAGUCAUCUUCUUUCAGUGUCUUUAUGGUAGAAAGCCAUUUGGUCACAAUCAAUCUCAACGAGACAUUCUUCAAGAAAAUACAAUAUUAAAAGCCACAGAAGUUCAGUUCCCUGUAAAACCUGUUGUAAGCAGUGAAGCCAAGGCCUUUACAAGACGCUGUUAGGCAUAUCGAAAAGAAGAUCAAUUUGAUGUGCACCAGCUGGCAAAUGACCCAUACCUUCUCCCACAUAUGAGAAGAUCAAAUUCUUCAGGAAACCUACACAUGGCUGGGCUGACAGCAUCCCCUACACCCCCUUCUUCAAGCAUAAUUACUUACUGACUUUCCUCUAAGACUGGCAUGAUAUCUUUGAAUUGCUGUCAGAUGCACACUUGAGUUUCAGAGCAUUUGAGUGUUGUUUUUUUGUUUGUUUGUUUGUUUUUUACACAAGACAUGGUUAAGAACUGUUUGUGAACUGAAGUUCCUCAUAGUGUCAUUUGUAUGAGAGUGGAUCAUGGACAAUGAAUAAAUGCACACUUCUGACUAUAAUUUUGAGCAGUGAAGGAUGACCGCCUGUUACACAGAAACAGGAAUACCAUGUUAAGAUAAAAGAAAAAAAUUUUGUUUAUUUGGGGGAACACUGUAAAUAACGUUUAUAAUACUUAAAUACAUUUGGUUGUUACUAGAGAGUUCUAA
This is a non-coding RNA of Chlorocebus sabaeus (green monkey), 2799 nucleotides long. The record is from RefSeq and is a predicted model, not a curated record. Lineage: Eukaryota; Metazoa; Chordata; Mammalia; Primates; Cercopithecidae.